Molecule: long non-coding RNA, 525 nt
Organism: Acinonyx jubatus (cheetah)
Lineage: Eukaryota; Metazoa; Chordata; Mammalia; Carnivora; Felidae
Exons: 2
Source: RefSeq, a predicted model, not a curated record
CAGUAAUGUAGUGAUUGGUUCCGUAUUUUUAUAUUAAGGAGAAAAAGAUUCUCUUCGUGGGUGAGGAAAAGCAAUUGAGAAAAAAGCUGUUCUGGUAUUCAGUAAAAUAGGAGUGUGUGUGUGUGUGUGUGUGUGUGUGUGUGUGUGUGUGAGUGUGUGUGUGUGUGUAUGGAGAGAGAGAGACACACACACACACUCUUGUUUAUAUCUGCACAGAACUCAGCAUCAUGGUAAUGGAGAAACAAUGUAAACAUUCCUUCUAAAAGCAAGGACAAAAUGAGCACCGUCCACCCUAUUAUUUAAUACUAUUUUGGCAGUACGAACCAGCACAAUUAGACAAUAGAAUAAAAUUAGAAAGAUAAACACUGAAAAGGAGGAGGUAAAAUUUUCACUACUUUAGACUUUAUGAUCGUACAACUUGAAAACCCAAGAGAAUCAGCCCCCAAACUCAGCAAACAAGAGAAGAAUCUUUACUGAAGACAAUUGAUCGUAAAGAUUUGUAGAAAUCAGUAGCUUUCAUAUAAA